GGGUCGUUAGCUCAGCCGGUAGAGCAGCUGGCUUUUAACCAGUUGGUCGUUGGUUCGAACCCAACACGACCCA
RNAcentral lists this transfer RNA (73 nucleotides) under Sinimarinibacterium flocculans. Its description in RNAcentral is "gamma proteobacterium NH6-24 tRNA". It matches the Rfam family "tRNA". Rfam says of the family: Transfer RNA (tRNA) molecules are approximately 80 nucleotides in length. Their secondary structure includes four short double-helical elements and three loops (D, anti-codon, and T loops). Further hydrogen bonds mediate the characteristic L-shaped molecular structure. tRNAs have two regions of fundamental functional importance: the anti-codon, which is responsible for specific mRNA codon recognition, and the 3' end, to which the tRNAs corresponding amino acid is attached (by aminoacyl-tRNA synthetases). tRNAs cope with the degeneracy of the genetic code in two manners: having more than one tRNA (with a specific anti-codon) for a particular amino acid; and 'wobble' base-pairing, i.e. permitting non-standard base-pairing at the 3rd anti-codon position. The record is from Rfam by way of RNAcentral. Lineage: Bacteria; Pseudomonadati; Pseudomonadota; Gammaproteobacteria; Nevskiales; Nevskiaceae.